AUGGCGACCGGCGCACGGGUGAGUAACGCGUAUCCAACCUGCCCUUUACUAUGGGACAGCCCGUCGAAAGGCGGAUUAAUACCGUAUGUUGUCAUGUUGAUGCAUAUUUUCAUGACCAAAGGCUUCGGCCGGUAAAGGAUGGGGAUGCGUCUGAUUAGCUUGCCGGCGGGGUAACGGCCCACCGGGGCGACGAUCAGUAGGGGUUCUGAGAGGAAGGUCCCCCGCAUUGGAACUGAGACACGGUCCAAACUCCUACGGGAGGCAGCAG
Molecule: ribosomal RNA, 268 nt
Filed under: uncultured bacterium
Lineage: Bacteria
Description: partial 16S ribosomal RNA
Rfam family: Bacterial small subunit ribosomal RNA
Source: RNAcentral